UACGGGGGGAGCAAGCGUUGUUCGGAUUUACUGGGCGUAAAGGGCGCGUAGGCGGCGUGGCAAGUCACUUGUGAAAUCUCCGGGCUUAACUCGGAACGGUCAAGUGAUACUGCUGUGCUAGAGUGCGGAAGGGGCAACUGGAAUUCUCGGUGUAGCGGUGAAAUGCGUAGAUAUCGAGAGGAACACCUGCGGCGAAGGCGGGUUGCUGGGCUGAUACUGACGCUGAGACGCGAAAGCGUGGGGAGCGAACAGG
This 253-nucleotide ribosomal RNA is filed under the name uncultured bacterium. Its description in RNAcentral is "partial 16S ribosomal RNA". It matches the Rfam family "Bacterial small subunit ribosomal RNA", at positions 524 to 776 of the family's 1533-position model. The record is from RNAcentral.